GGGGUUGUGGCUUAGUGGUAGAGCUCUCACCAAGCACGUGUGAGGCACUGGGUUUGAUUCUCAGCACCACA
Molecule: transfer RNA, 71 nt
Filed under: Marmota monax (woodchuck)
Lineage: Eukaryota; Metazoa; Chordata; Mammalia; Rodentia; Sciuridae
Description: tRNA.Ala
Source: RNAcentral